This 694-nucleotide long non-coding RNA is filed under the name Felis catus (domestic cat). RNAcentral describes it as "lncRNA (ENSFCAG00000049994.1)". The record is from RNAcentral. Lineage: Eukaryota; Metazoa; Chordata; Mammalia; Carnivora; Felidae.
CUUUCACCCCUCCACGACCUCAGCACAUACAUACGUUCUGCCCCACCGGCCCUCAGCGAAGCAGUCCUCCAGCGCGCAGCUGCGAGUGAGUGAGCACGUGGUGCGCAGACCCUCUGGACGCAUGCGCACCGGCACCCAGUUCCUCCCUGGUGUGAGAGCCUCAGACUCUGCAGGGGGAAGGUGCGCUGUUCUGAGGCCCCUGGACAGGCAAGCCUCCUGGGUGGCAAACCAAGGAGAGGAGCUGGAAGUCCUUGGCAUUCACAGGUUUUGGCUGAUGUUUUGGAGGAGUAUGCAACCUUGAGGAAUCUUGGCUGUGUCAAUACAGGUAAGUGGAAGAGAAACCAUGUAAAAGAUCAUUAUUACAGAGCUCUCUGGGAGUUUGCUCACACACCUGAUUAAUUCUGGAUACUUUGUGAUAAUGGAGAGAGUUGCCGAAGUUAGCCAAACAUAAUGUGUAGGUGAAACUUUGUGUGAUAAAGCAACUGGAACAUCCAUCAAAAAAAGGCUGUAGUGGUAGGUUGGGAUUCAUCUUGGUUUGGAGGUAAGUCUGUGUGACUCCACAUUCUGUGCUCCUAACCUGAUAGAUCUUACCUUUCUUGAUGUGCAGGGGAUAAAUGUCAAAUAAUUUAUCUUAAACCAUCUGAGCUAAGUGAGCAGACCUCUGAAUAAAUUUUGAUUUUCCUUUAAUUUAACA